GUAUAAGAGACAGCAGCAGCCGCGGUAAAACGGAGGGUGCAAGCGUUAUCCGGAUUUAUUGGGUUUAAAGGGUCCGUAGGCGGAUCUGUAAGUCAGUGGUGAAAUCUCACAGCUUAACUGUGAAACUGCCAUUGAUACUGCAGGUCUUGAGUAAAUUUGAAGUGGCUGGAAUAAGUAGUGUAGCGGUGAAAUGCAUAGAUAUUACUUAGAACACCAAUUGCGAAGGCAGGUCACUAAGAUUUAACUGACGCUGAUGGACGAAAGCGUGGGGAGCGAACAGGAUUAGAUACCCCAGUAGUCCCUGUCUCUUAUAC
Molecule: ribosomal RNA, 314 nt
Filed under: uncultured bacterium
Lineage: Bacteria
Description: partial 16S ribosomal RNA
Rfam family: Bacterial small subunit ribosomal RNA
Source: RNAcentral